Molecule: long non-coding RNA, 747 nt
Filed under: Oryza sativa Indica Group (long-grained rice)
Lineage: Eukaryota; Viridiplantae; Streptophyta; Magnoliopsida; Poales; Poaceae
Description: lncRNA OsZS97_02G014930
Source: RNAcentral
GGGUGCCGGCCCGUGCGACGGCAGCCUGGAGAUGGCCCGGCGGCGUCGGGGAAGGAAGAGGGCCGGGGCACCAGCGGCGCGGCAGGAGGCGACACGGCGGCGCUCGGCGCUUGGCGCCGCGGCCUGGCCGGUGACCGAUCGCGAUGGCGCGGCCUGAGAGGCGGCGCGCGUGGAGGUGGCCACGCGAGGAGGCGGCGCUCCACACGGCGCGGCGGCGUCCCCGUGCCGGUGAAGACGGCGACGGCGACAACUUCGGCAACGGGGUUGGAGGUGGCGCCCGCGCUCGAAGGUGGCACUCGUGCGUUCGGCUUGGCCGGGCGCGAGGAUGGCACUCGCGCGGGGCCGAUCUGGCCGUGCGUGGUGGCGGCCGAGACGGGGCGAGGAGGUGAAGCCGACGAGCUGCUCCGAAGGGCGGCGCCGAGGCAGUGGCGGCGGUGGGUGUUGGCCCAGGAGAGGAGCAGAGGUGGCGAUGAUUGGAGGGGGCGAAUGGUGGGGGAUAGCGGGCAUGGCCACGGAGAAGGAUCGACACAGUGGUGGAAGGGUGAUGUGGCGCGCGUCCAUAGGUUGGACGGCGGCGGCGCGGGCCCGGGUGUCGUCAUCGACACAGUGGAGGGGAGGUGCGAGGCUGGCGGCGUGAACGCAGCUCACGCGGACGCUCGUCUGCGGCCGAUGGAGAGCGAGGAUGCAAGGCGUGGACGAGGAGUAGCGACGCUCACGCGGGCGACGUCCUGGGAGGCGGCGAAGUGA